CCUACGGGAGGCAGCAGUGAGGAAUAUUGGUCAAUGGACGAGAGUCUGAACCAGCCAAGCAGCGUGAAGGAUGAAGGCCCUAUGGGUUGUAAACUUCUUUUAUAUGGGAAUAAAAUGUUCCACGUGUGGGAUUUUGUAUGUACCAUAUGAAUAAGGAUCGGCUAACUCCGUGCCAGCAGCCGCGGUAAUACGGAGGGUCCGAGCGUUAUCCGGAUUUAUUGGGUUUAAAGGGAGCGUAGGUGGAUUGUUAAGUCAGUUGUGAAAGUUUGUGGCUCAACCGUAAAAGUGCAGUUGAAACUGGCAGGCUUGAGUACAGUAGAGGUGGGCAGAAUUCGUGGUGUAGCGGUGAAAUGCUUAGAUAUCACGAAGAACUCCGAUUGCGAAGGCAGUUCACUGGACUGAAACUGACACUGAGGCGCGAAAGUGUGGGUAUCAAACAGGAUUAGAUACCCGUGUAGUC
RNAcentral lists this ribosomal RNA (460 nucleotides) under uncultured bacterium. Its description in RNAcentral is "partial 16S ribosomal RNA". It matches the Rfam family "Bacterial small subunit ribosomal RNA", at positions 338 to 795 of the family's 1533-position model. The record is from RNAcentral.